RNAcentral lists this long non-coding RNA (492 nucleotides) under Mus spicilegus (steppe mouse). Its description in RNAcentral is "lncRNA (ENSMSIG00000024434.1)". The record is from RNAcentral. Lineage: Eukaryota; Metazoa; Chordata; Mammalia; Rodentia; Muridae.
GUUGGGGUUCUGAACUUCGUUCUUUUCUCCCCCGGUGUUACUUAAGCGCUUCAUUCACUUUGGAAGGCAAAGAGUUGUGUCUAAGCUACAUGUGAAGUCCUAAACCCUGAGUCCUGUUCUGGGAACUGCGAACCAACCUAGGACCCGGCGUCGUGGCUAGGACUGACUACGGUGAUGUGCAUUCUGAAAACUGAAGGGAAAGCUAGAGGGACCCGGUAGGAAAAGGAAGGGGGCCUCUGACCAAGUGUUCGCAACAGCUCUGAACACCACACUCCUGGUAGAUGAACCAGCUGUCACUCUGUCUUUGAAUGUAGUAGCUCAGGUGGACCUCUCAAUUCUAGCGCUGAAAAGUAGGCGACAAAGCUGCUCAAUCCACAAGUCCAUCAGAAUCCCCUGGGAGCAUAAAUGCCGUGUUGGUAAGUCCUUUCCAUGCUUUCUGUUUUAGAAAGUCUGAACUCCUGAAUAAAAGCAGGGGUCCUGCCUCCUGGGGCA